UUCGGCGCUCUCGAUUGGCGAGUCCAUACGUUCGACGGUGAGGAACGCCGCCAGGUUGGCAGUGUACGAGCUGAUCAUGAUCAG
RNAcentral lists this microRNA precursor (84 nucleotides) under Aedes aegypti (yellow fever mosquito). RNAcentral's name for it is "partial AAEL017791-RA". Lineage: Eukaryota; Metazoa; Arthropoda; Insecta; Diptera; Culicidae. The record is from RNAcentral.